Molecule: non-coding RNA, 29 nt
Filed under: Bombyx mori (domestic silkworm)
Lineage: Eukaryota; Metazoa; Arthropoda; Insecta; Lepidoptera; Bombycidae
Source: RNAcentral
UCCAUGUGAUGCAGAGCUGCCACGCCGGA